RNAcentral lists this small nuclear RNA (102 nucleotides) under Colobus angolensis palliatus. Lineage: Eukaryota; Metazoa; Chordata; Mammalia; Primates; Cercopithecidae. The record is from RNAcentral.
GCUCAUUUCAGAAGCAUAUACUAAAAUUGUAAUAAUACAGAGAAUAUUAUCAUGGCCCCUUGCACAAGGAUAACACAAAUUUGUGAAAUGCUCUAUAUUUUU